Molecule: ribosomal RNA, 253 nt
Filed under: uncultured bacterium
Lineage: Bacteria
Description: partial 16S ribosomal RNA
Rfam family: Bacterial small subunit ribosomal RNA
Source: RNAcentral
UACGAAGGGGGCUAGCGUUGCUCGGAAUUACUGGGCGUAAAGGGCGCGUAGGCGGCUUAACAAGUCACUUGUGAAAUCUCCGGGCUUAACUCGGAACGGUCAAGUGAUACUGUCGGACUAGAGUACAGAAGGGGCAACUGGAAUUCUCGGUGUAGCGGUGAAAUGCGUAGAUAUCGAGAGGAACACCUGCGGCGAAGGCGGGUUGCUGGGCUGAUACUGACGCUGAGGCGCGAAAGCCAGGGGAGCGAACGGG